RNA transcript from Brassica napus (rape), 3925 nucleotides. It is a transcript of the gene named putative F-box protein At4g21240, with no coding region annotated. The transcript is spliced from 2 exons. The record is from RefSeq and is a predicted model, not a curated record. Lineage: Eukaryota; Viridiplantae; Streptophyta; Magnoliopsida; Brassicales; Brassicaceae.
UCUUAAACAAACAAAAACACAAUGUUUUUCCCUAAAUCUGGUCUAGAAAAAAAUGAAUUUUCCAGCAGCUCCGCUGAAGAGCCAAAUCACUUUGUGAUUGAUCUAGAGGAGGAAAAUGAUAUCGUAAAUGACCCUGCUGCGCAUUUCAAUCCCUGUGUAACACAAGGUAGCCGAAAAGCAUAUGCGAUAAAGGCGGCCACUGAGAGGAAGAUUGUGGUGAAAAUCGAUAUACCCGGUUGCACGAAGUUGGACACAUUCGAUAUCCAUCUCAACAAAGUUCGGUUUACCGCGAAGGAAGUUCAACCUGGUGCGGUUGGCUUGAGUUUCAAGUUUGCGGCGAGGGAGUACGACGGCUCUAUUCUCUUCAAGUACAAGGCGUACAAGAACAACGACAUCACCUACAACAUCACUUACGGCGUCCUCCGCGUAACCUUCUCCAGCACCAACUAAGUUACUAUAAUUUCUAUAGUUUUACAUUUAUCUAAAGAAAUAAAAGUCGGCGGCAUGACAUGCUUAGUAUUUAUAAUAAACAAAAGUUAAUUUAAUAUCUAUGGUUCGUCGUGUGGAUUGAGUCGAAAUGGUUUAGUUUUCUAUUGGACUGAUGAAUGAAAUCGUCGGAUUGCUUGUAUCCCUUGCUUGAUAAACAAAAGUUAAUUUUAAGAUUUUAAAACACAAUCAGAAAAGCAUAUUCUACGCCUCCUACUCCUUAUACUUAUGGUAAAAAUUGACUCACCCGACAUACUUUGAUCCGUUCUAUUCCAUUGCGAGUUUAAUAUAUUACUAGAUUUCGACCCGCACACCCGUGCGGGUGUUUAUUUUUAUUUUUGAUUCAAAAUAAUUAUUUGUUUUUAUAAUUAGUAAAUAUAUAUUUUAAUAUUUACCAUAUAACUAAUUAUAUAUUAUUAUAUUUAAACAAAUUGUAUCGUGAGAAGGUUUGUUGGUCGAUAUUGACCAAAUGCUUGUGAUAUAGAAAAGGUUUGUUGGUCGAUAUUGACCAAAUGAUUGAUAUAUUAUAAUAAUUGGAGUUAUCCUAUUCAAAUGAUAAAAAAAAACAAUUCUUAGUUUUUAUGCUCACUUUGUAAUCCGAAAAAUAACGAACUAAUAAUAUAUUAUUUGUUGAAUUUUCAUUGACUGAAUAUAUGAUAAUUAUAUGGUUUAUGUUUGCCAUAGGAAGGUUAAAAAUUUAUAGUGGAGCAGUGUACGAUUAUGUUUGCCGUACGAAGGUUAAAAAUUUAUAGUGGAGCAGUGUACGAUAAUAAGAUGCCAUUCUAUUUUUGGUGUGAUUCCAAAUUUAUAAGAGUUUGGAUUCCUUAAAGGAAGAGGUGAUGAAUAGUUAAUAUUUUUAAUUAAUUCUGGUUUUAGUAAUAUUAUUGAAUUGACGUUUGUUUGGGUUAACUACUACGUACGGUUUGGUUAGUUAUUUAAAUUAGAUUUAAAUGGUUUGAUUUAAGUGUUAAACAUGGUUUAAGCUAGUGGCAUAAACUUGUAAUAUUUAAAGAAAACUGAGGGUUAAUUUUAAUUUGUACUCCAGUUUCUGGAUCAGAUAUAUGACUAAUUCAUCUUUUCGGAUUUAUUGAUAUAUGUUUUCAACCAUUUAACCAAUUUGCUAUAUAAAUAUGCUUGGCCUUUCACCAUUGACCCAUUAUGAGCUUAACUCAUUAGAGUCGUCGGCUGGAUUGGGUUGUAUUAAUCCACUAUGACUCUCCUUUCACACACACACACAACAAGAAGGUUUGUCCAAAAGCAAUGAUGAUACUUGCACUAUUUGAGAAAAAAAAAAGAGUUUCUUUUGAUUAAAUAAUCAUUAAAAAUACUUAAGAUAGACUAGGUAAUUCUUAAAAAUUAUAUAAAAAAGUUUAAUAUUAUACUUAUAAACUUUUAUGGGAAAGUUAGCUUACAUUAUCAAAAAAUAAAAAUAAAUUGUAAUCUAAUUUAGAUUAAAGACUAACCCCUAAAACUUAUAAAAAAUCUGUUCAGAAAAUCUAACAUAUAUGAUAUACCUAUAAAAUACUUUUCAUAACAACACCAGUAAAAGAUUUCUUAUAGAUUUAGUUACAGUUAAAUCUAUAAAGAAAUAAAACUAUAAUUAACAUAUUUUGAAAACAAAGAUUUGAUACAUUCUUUAAAUUAGAUUAGUACAUUAAUUUAUACUAUGUCAAUAUCAAAUUUUAUAGAAAAGAUCUCUAUGUAUACUUACAUAAUUGUAUAAUGUCAUUAUAAAGAGGUUUAAACGGACAAAGAGAUCAUUGAGAAAUUAAAGUAUGGGCUUAAAACUAGGAGUGAUGAAAAAUAAAGAGGACAAGAAAAAUUAUGAAAGAGAUGGUGAGUGUGAUAUUCCUCAUGAUCUCAUGAGGGAGAUAUUACUGAGACUUCCAGCGAAAUCAUUGCUAAGGUUUCGAUGUGUAUCAAAGUUAUGGUUCUCUACCACUACAGAUCCAAGUUUCAUUAAUUCGUUCGCCACUCAGUCAUCAACUCGUCCGUAUCUUGAACUCUGUUUUACAAAAGAGGACAACUGGUUAUUUUUCUCAUUAGCGCAAAAGUCUUUAUCUCAUCAUCAUAUGGACCAUAUCACCCUCCCAAAAGAAGACCGGUUCAUCAAUGAUUUUGAGUCCAUACUUGGCUUGAUCUCCUUCCAAUAUUUAAAUUAUUUUGUGAUCUGGAAUCCUACCAUAAGACAACAUGUAACCAUACCCAAACCCAAAGAUUCAUGGCAUACAAGAAGCUAUUUAGGAUAUGAUCCUAUUGGAGAUACAUAUAAGCUACUUUGUAUGUCAAAUACUUCUGAUUCCAGACCUCAAGUUCUUACAUUAGGAGCUCAAGAAUCAUGGAGAUUGAUUAAAAACAGUCCUAUGCAUUACAAGACGAAUAAUGGAAAAUACAUCAACGGGUUCAUCUUUUAUGAAGCGUAUUUACGAUAUGAAUAUUAUGGAACUCUUGUUGAUCGUGGAUGUCCUUUGUAUAUUUAUCGCGAAGGUCUAGAUAGAAAAACCAUAAUGCGUUUUGAUGUGAGGUCUGAGGAGUUUAAACCAAUCCAAAUGCCCCCGCAUUUUAGUCACAAAACAAGGCAUGCUCUGGUAAAUUACGAGGGCAAAGUGGCACGUAUUUGUCAAGAAUCAUCUUUUAUAAUUUUAUGGAUCCUUGAAGAUGUUGACAAAGAAAAAUGGUCAUACAAAGAGUUCCAUGUGCCUUUUCCCCCAGAAGAUCCAAUUGAAGCAUGUGACUAUAGUAUAAAUAUACUAUCACAACAAAACGAGAACUACAUUCUAAAUGGUAUCGAUGAUGACACUGGUGAAUUAGUGAAAUAUAUUCUAAGUGGUAUUAAUGAUGACACUGGUGAAUUUAUUUUCAUACCAUUAACAAUGUGGUGUGGUGACAAAGAGGCGUAUGUCUUUUGUUAUGAUCCAAAGAAAAAAUGUACGAGGAAGAUCAGAUUUGAAGGAACUGGGUACGUUGACAAUUUUAAGCGUGGUUAUAAACUCAAACAAUGGGUAUUUGCUUAUUGUUUCCCUAAUCAUAUUGAGAGUCUUGUGUCUCUCAACAACCUAACUUUCCCUCAUUAAAUAUUUUAUGUGGAGUUAUUCUUCGGUUCACCUCAUAGGGCAGUGGCAGAGUCAGAACUAUUUUUAACUGGAGUUUUAAUAUGUAAAUUUAAUAUUAAAAUUUAAUAUGUAUAUAUUAUUAUUACAAAAAUAUUUUUUUUUACAAAUUUAAUGGAGACAUAUGAAAACUUAUACAUAAAUUAGUAGAGUCAAAUGCUAUAUUUUAACUAAAUAUUGUAAUAACUUAAGAAAAAAAUUGACUAAUUUUUUUUCUCCAAUCUGAGUGGGGUCAUCUGAUCCCACAAUCUCCUAUCUACCUCUCCUCAUGUUCUAAGUUCAUUAAUGAAUCUUUAGGUUCAUUAAUCAAUAAAAUUUCAUUAUUUUAU